Molecule: long non-coding RNA, 1571 nt
Organism: Grammomys surdaster
Lineage: Eukaryota; Metazoa; Chordata; Mammalia; Rodentia; Muridae
Exons: 2
Source: RefSeq, a predicted model, not a curated record
UGACCUCAGAAGAUGGAGAAGAAUUCUGCUCAUGAAUUGGCAGAAUUCACAUAGGAAAAAUGAUCAUUUUAAUGAAACCAGGCUUCAUAUUCAAUGUAAUCCUAAUCAAAAUUCCAACUGAAUUCUUCAAAGAGUUAGAAAGAGCAAUUCUCAAAUUCAUUUGGAGUAACAAAAUCCCAUGAUAGCAAAAACCGUUCUUAACAAUAAUCAAACUUCUGAGAAAAUCACUGUCCUUGAGCUCAAGCUGUAUUAUAAAGAAAUAGUAAUAAAAACUGCACGGUAUUGAUAGCCAAAUGUUUGUAGACUUAUUGUAUAACCUAGAUUAUUAAUAGAAUUCCCUCUUUGCAUUUUCAGGAGCAAUUCGUAAUCUCCAUCAAUGCAAAGGCUUUUGAAGAUGGGAUUACUGUAUGUUGUCUGUUUUCUUGACAUGUUCUGAUGGUGUUUUCAGAAGAAAGACCUCCUGAUGUUAGAGGCUAGAAUACUGCAAUGUGUUGAAGAAAGAAGAUUGAAGGUGGUCAUUGUGAUCCUCUGAGAACAAGAUCAGAAAGAAUGUUCAGACCAUAGCACAUUUCCUCCUAAAGAGCUGGGGAUAUGACUGUGGAGAUUGUAUCUCAGAAACAUAAGGAGAUAUGUGAAACUGCCUAUUUCCCACUCAUUUCCCUGGGAGGAAUAGCCAUUAGUUAGCAAGGGGUACAUGGUGGAGUUAGGUUGGGGGUCAAAGCAACAAUCUAGGUGUGAAAAGUUAGAAGGAGGAGGUCUGUGGGAGUCACAGAAGAUGGAAGCAGGGUGGCAGGGAAAACUGCCACAAGUGUUUUGAUGCAGAGCUGGGGAUGAGUCUGAGGAGUUAGAUCUGAAGGAACAAUGGAAGAAGAAAUGUCUCUGUGAAACAUUUUUUAUUUUCUGGCAUGCCUGGCCUAUGGGUUAACAGGAGUUGCUUGGUGGAUUUGGGGACUGUGAAAAAGCAAUUAGUGGUAAAAGAAAAAUUAAAAGUGGAAGACUGACCCUAUCCACAAUAGAUAGGAGAGAUCAGGAAAGGCUUUCCCAAAGUGUUCUGUUGCAAAAUUUGAAAUCAACCCAGUUAAGCUUCCAACCUGUGAAAGGGGAUUAAAAAAAAAGCUUAAGUCCAGGUAUGACAGAACAUAUCUUUAAUCCCAACAAUCAGAAAGUAGAGGCAUGCAGAUCUUUAAAUUCAAUGAGUCCAGAGUUCUAAGAGACAUGUGGAGAUUUAUUGACAUGGUUAUGGGCUUGAAUGGUGGCAUGCUCUCCCCAAAAAAUGCCAGAAGGGGUUUGUUUAUAUUGGAAGUAGGAGAGGAGCAGGGCCAGGGCCUUUAAGUAAAUCUUGAGGCAGAGACCUGUUUCCCUGCCCUCUACCUGGGCCUUAUGUUACAUGGAGACCUCGUGUCAGGUCUCUGGGCUCUGUGGGCGUGGCCAAACACCCCAGGAUUUCCACAGUCCUACACCCAUAUUACAGGAAUUCCUUAUAAUUGUCAAGGAAAAGAGAUUGUGAAACAGCCCCAUGGACCUUUAAAACAAUAUCUUCAUAAAAUAAUAAAGGGGGAGAUAUCUGCAUA